UCCGCUGCCUCCUCUUUCCCCGGCCUCCCCCAAUCCCCGCCUUCUCUCCUCCUCCUCAAUCCGUCGCCUCUCCCCCAAGCCGCCGCCCUCUCUCCUCCCCGUCUUUGGCCCCGCCCUCGCCAACUCCCGACGCUCCGCCGAGUGGAGAACCAGGAAGGAGGAGGGACGUGAAGUGGAGAAGAGGGGGUGCGCUAGAGAAGGAGCCAAGCCCGCAGGAGAGCACGGAGUGCCGGCGCGCCAUGCCCGCCGCAGCUGCUCGUGGAGCUCCGGCAUGUGCUGCACCAUGGAGGCGCUCGUGGAGGUGCUCUCGCCUUCGGAACCACCUCGAUCCGCGUCUGGAACCAUCCUGCUCGUCUCCAACUUUUCCAGCUCACUGAUGAGGACCUCGUCUCGGCCUCCCUACCAGCCCCAUCCGGUUUGAUGUCGAGGAGGUUCGGUUCCUACACCAAUGGUUACAGCGGGCUCUGCUGCAGGAAGCAGGGUCUAAUGAUGUACAAUUUUGCAGCUGCUGGUUUAGUUGUUCAAAUGGGAGCUUCGUAGGGGCAUGCCCUCAAUUCCAUUACCUUUCUAGAUUGUUGUUUCGUUGUUGAUGCAAUACUCAGUUUGGUGGUUUCCUUUUGUUUUUGCUGCAGGGAGUGGAAGUUUUAGAAUGCUGCGGACAGGUUGAGAGCAAUAGAUGUUUUUUAAGUCCUAGGACAAUUUGAUUUUGGGAGGACAAAGGUCAGGCAAGGAUGAGAAUGGGAUACCAGAUUACAACGAUGGAGGCUCGGACAUGGAUCUGCUCAUGCUCUCAGCGGGAAUACUGGAUGUUCUCGAAGCUUUGCCAUACACACGUGCUACUUUUGGCACUUGUGUGGGCUCCAGUUUGUGUCAAUGCAAUUUGCAUCUAUCAGCGGAUUAUGUCGAUCAGGUUUGGUUAUUGGCAUACAGGUAUGUUUGUGUAUGGAUGUCACAAAAUUGUUAUGCAGAAAAUAAGAGUGUAGUACAUUUCAGAGAUACAAGUGAUCUUGUUCAGUUUAGUCAGAGCACAUGCAAACAAGUAGUUCCGGGUGGAGGCCUUCCACUUGCUUUUGCUAGCUAUAUGAAAUAGACUGAACCUGAACCUAACUACGAUUGGAUGUCUAAGCUGAAUUGUUGCAUCCGUAGACAUGGAAUUAUGGAUCAAUUUUAGCUCUCAAGAACUGCAUACUUAUGGUCCUAUGUAAUCCCAAUUUAUUCAGGCCAGCAUCCCAAAAGUUCACUAAUGAACAAAGCAACAUCACACAGAAUCUAAGUUUUAGGCCAGGUUACUAAUCAAUCUUUUCCCUUCUCUCUAUUUAAUUUUAACAUUGCAUAAUUAUUUAUUCCCUGUUUGUAGCUUACACUGAAAUCUAAGCUCGUGUGCAUGUAUGUAUUAUGAACCAGCCCUGUCCAUUGACUUACUGGAUACAUAAGUCUCUCCAUUGCUGUUGUCGGAUGGGUUUACAUUUGCUGUUACUUUCUGUCUUGGUUAGGAACCAGGUUGUUUAAUGCACCAAUGCUGCUUUCUGAUGACGACGGCAAUGCCAAACGCACCAUCACCUGAGGUAGUUCUGUCUAUAUCUCAUUUACUUAUCAUGAUAUGUACCUAGAAGUUAUUCAUAUUGGUUUCUUAGGACCGCCUUCAAGAGCAUGCUGAAGAAUCACAAUAAAAACUCCCCAAUGAUAGUGCCACUCCAUGAGACAUCCAUAUCAAACUGAAACUCAAUUUCCUCGCAUUAGCCAAAGCAUGCCAUCACAUAUUUUUUGCUGUUGUUUUGGAACUAUUUCAGUAUGGGUGAGUUCUUUUUUUUAAGUGUACUCUAUAUGUUGGUGACUUAUUUUUUUAGUUGAUUGUUCUUUUACAAAAUUGAGCAAAAAGAAAAGAACAAAGAAAAAAUUGUUUAGCUAGAUAGGCAAAGCCGCUGAUGUUUACUUGUUGUUUGCUGUAGACCCUUGAUGGGCCAUGCUUUUCUCUGUUUUUUGCGUUCCUGGACUGUAAGAAAUCUUGUGGAUGUGCUCUCUAUUUUCCUGUUACUUUCUCUGCCACUCACAUUUAAAUUUGCUAAUAUAUUAGUUUUCCAACAUGACGUAUACAUAUCCAAGGAUGAAGUGAAGAAGAAGAAUUGGGGUUGUCAAUUGUGUAUUUGCAAUUGUACAGAUCCGAGGUGCUAUACUUAUCUGCAUUUAAAUUUGCUUUUUCUUGGAACUAUUGGCAUGUAGAGGAGGCUGUGUUUUAUUUGGUGGUCCGUUAGGCAUAUAAGUAACUGGUUUUGCCUUUUUCACAAAACAAGCUGAGCUUCUGGUGUAUAUGGGCCCAGCUCCAUGUUUUUAUUGCCAAAAAAAUAAUUAAGUACCAUGUUAAAUGUGCUGGUUCACAUGCCAAUUGGUCCUGUUCUUGAGGCCUUAAUAUCCUAUCUGGAUAUUCCUUUUAUGACAACUCAUAGGUCUAUGUGAUUGGCGGGGAAGGAACCAUGAGAGGAGCAGUGGCGAUAUUCAAAGAGAUUAAACGGCAUGGUUUGAGGAUAUCCAUUACAUGGAUCCCCAAAACCGUGGACAUCGGCAUCAUAGACAGGUCGUUUGUGUUCCAAACUGCAGUGGAGAUUACUCAGCAUGCGAUCAACCGGCACAUGUGGAGGCUGUGAGCGCUGUGAAUGGCAUUGGUCUUGUCAAACUUACAGGAAGGAGCACAUGACACAUUACUCUUCAUGCCACCCUGAGCAGCCGAGAUGUUGACUGCUGUGAAUCUUGAGAUUGAUUUCCACGUUGAAGGGAAGGGAAGCCUGUUUGAGUUCCUGUAUGAACGGAUAAAGAAGAAGGGGCAUGUUGUGGUCGUUGUUGCUGAAGGUGCUGAUCAGGAGUUAAUACCCCGGACUGAUGACCCAACAGAGUUAACUUAAUCUGAACUUCCUCUGUUUCCGCUAUAUAUCCCUAUUUUUCUGAACUUAACAACCGAACAGCAUUAUAUAUUAGAUUAGCACACAAGUGAACUGGAAAUCAUUUUAUUCAGAUUGUUGGUACCCUCAGUGUAAAAUUAUUCCUUAUUGGUUGGGGAUUUGGAGACGUAGUAUCUGGUUGAUGAAGGAUUUUUAUCUCCUAAGCUUCACACAUUCUCUUCCAUCCAACACAACCGGCACAGUCAAGUGGUGUAGUAGUUGAUGGUCGACAGCUAACAUCAAGGCACCGCCUUAAUUUAGGCGAAAAGACCACAACUCUUCCAUCUACACCAGGUUUGUUGGUUUCAGCCCUGGUAUAUUUAGUUACAACCAAGAAAUUAUUUAUUAAGGAGCUUUGGUUGUAACUGAAAUUCACUGCAAAACUGCAUAUGGAAACAUUCAAUAUUUUUCUCUCUUAACUCACCUCAAAGUAAAGGACUUCUAGAGAUAAAAUUAUUGAUUGGUAGGGCCUCGGUUUAUUAACUAUUAUAUAUUUUUAGAAGCUGAAUGCCAAAUCAUAUGUUGUUUCUUCUUUGGGAUGAAACAAAUCAUACGUGUGGCAUCGACUAAGACCGUAGUCUGAUCAUACAAGGCCUUAUUGAUUGCUGAUUCUACUUCCAUAGUCUGAUAUAUUCGAGGUGCAGCCAAGAUCAGGCGAGAGGACGAUGUUUUGGUUGUUUCGACAGAAAAUCCUACUGGCUGAAGCUCAAAGACUGAAGCCCCUAUCCCAGUGUUAAAAACUUCAAUCAACCCGUAGUUAAAGCUGGAAUCAAGUAGAGCAGUGGCUACUCCGAAAACUCUUGUUCUGAUCAGAUUGGCUAGGAUUCAUAUCAUCCCUUUCUAGCUAUGACAGAUGGUAUACUGCAUACUAAUGAGGAUAGAUGAUUUAUGUUGAUGAAAUAUUUUAGAUAGUGACACCGAAGUGUUAUUCUA
RNA transcript from Triticum dicoccoides, 3866 nucleotides. RefSeq lists it as uncharacterized. The transcript has 4 exons. NCBI's taxonomy places the organism in Eukaryota, Viridiplantae, Streptophyta, Magnoliopsida, Poales, Poaceae. The record is from RefSeq and is a predicted model, not a curated record.